RNAcentral lists this ribosomal RNA (497 nucleotides) under uncultured bacterium. Its description in RNAcentral is "partial 16S ribosomal RNA". It matches the Rfam family "Bacterial small subunit ribosomal RNA", at positions 28 to 507 of the family's 1533-position model. The record is from RNAcentral.
GAUGAACGCUGGCGGCGUGCCUAAUACAUGCAAGUCGAGGGAAAACACGAGGAGCUUUCUCUUCCGACGUUAGCCGCGCACGUGUGAGUAACACGUGGAUCCUCCACCUAUCAGACUGGGAUCACUUCGGGAAACCGGCGCUUACACCGGAUAAUAUAUUUAACCGCAUGGUAUAUUAGUUAAAGACGUUUUUGUUGUCACUUAUAGAUCGUUCCGCUCCGCAUUAGCUAGUUGGUAAGGUAACGGCUUACCAAGUCAAUGAUGCGUUGCCGACCUGAGAGGGUGAUCAGCCACCCUAGAACGGAGACACGGUCCAGACUCCUACGGGAGGCAGCAGUAGGGAAUGUUACGCAAUGGGCGAAAGCUUGACGGGGCAACGCCGCGUGAGUGAUGAAGGUCUUCGGAUCGUAAAACUCUGUUAUUAGGGAAGAACAAAUGUGUAAGUAACUAUGCACGUAUUGACGGUACCUAAUCAGAAAGCAACGGCUAACUACGUG